CCUACGGGAGGCAGCAGUAGGGAAUCUUCCGCAAUGGACGAAAGUCUGACGGAGCAACGCCGCGUGAACGAUGAAGGCCUUCGGGUCGUAAAGUUCUGUUGUUAGGGAAGAACAAGUGCUAGUUAAAUAAGCUGGCACCUUGACGGUACCUAACCAGAAAGCCACGGCUAACUACGUGCCAGCAGCCGCGGUAAUACGUAGGUGGCAAGCGUUGUCCGGAAUUAUUGGGCGUAAAGCGCGCGCAGGCGGUUUCUUAAGUCUGAUGUGAAAGCCCCCGGCUCAACCGGGGAGGGUCAUUGGAAACUGGGAAACUUGAGUGCAGAAGAGGAAAGUGGAAUUCCAAGUGUAGCGGUGAAAUGCGUAGAGAUUUGGAGGAACACCAGUGGCGAAGGCGACUUUCUGGUCUGUAACUGACGCUGAGGCGCGAAAGCGUGGGGAGCAAACAGGAUUAGAUACCCUGGUAGUCCACGCUGUAAACGAUGAGUGCUAAGUGUUAGAGGGUUUUCCGCCCUUUAGUGCUGAAGUUAACGCAUUAAGCACUCCGCCUGGGGANACGGUCGCAAGCUGAAACUCAAAUGAAUUGACGGCUGAGCCGNGCGAGACGACACGAGGGAGAG
This 617-nucleotide ribosomal RNA is filed under the name uncultured bacterium. RNAcentral's name for it is "bacterial SSU rRNA". It matches the Rfam family "Bacterial small subunit ribosomal RNA", at positions 338 to 949 of the family's 1533-position model. The record is from RNAcentral.